GGAGCGCGUCGGGCAGCGGCAGCUCGGCGGCGUCCGCCUCGCCGUACAGCGAACGGCCGUCGAGGUGGUACAGGUUCGGGUCGCCGGCCGCCCGCUGC
Molecule: transfer RNA, 98 nt
Filed under: Streptomyces morookaense
Lineage: Bacteria; Bacillati; Actinomycetota; Actinomycetes; Kitasatosporales; Streptomycetaceae
Description: tRNA-Ala
Source: RNAcentral